This 426-nucleotide ribosomal RNA is filed under the name uncultured bacterium. RNAcentral's name for it is "bacterial SSU rRNA". It matches the Rfam family "Bacterial small subunit ribosomal RNA", at positions 354 to 796 of the family's 1533-position model. The record is from RNAcentral.
GUGAGGAAUAUUGCGCAAUGGGGGCAACCCUGACGCAGCAACGCCGCGUGGGUGAAGAAGGCCUUCGGGUCGUAAAACCCUUUUCUGGGGGACGAGUGAGGACGGUACCCCAGGAAUAAGUCCCGGCUAACUACGUGCCAGCAGCCGCGGUAAAACGUAGGGGGCGAGCGUUAUCCGGAUUUACUGGGCGUAAAGCGCGUGCAGGCGGCUGGGCAGGUUGGACGUGAAAGCUCCUGGCUCAACUGGGAGAGGUCGUUCAAUACCGCCCGGCUUGAGGACGGAAGAGGGGAGUGGAAUUCCCGGUGUAGUGGUGGAAUGCGUAGAGAUCGGGAGGAACACCUGUGGCGAAAGCGGCUCCCUGGUCCGCACCUGACGCUCAGACGCGAAAGCGUGGGGAGCGAACGGGAUUAGAUACCCCAGUAGUCC